This 310-nucleotide ribosomal RNA is filed under the name uncultured bacterium. RNAcentral describes it as "partial 16S ribosomal RNA". It matches the Rfam family "Bacterial small subunit ribosomal RNA", at positions 503 to 809 of the family's 1533-position model. The record is from RNAcentral.
AAGAGACAGCAGCAGCCACGGGAACACAGAGGGUGCGAGCGUUAAUCGGAUUUACUGGGCGUAAAGCGUGCGUAGGCGGCUUCUUAAGUCGGAUGUGAAAUCCCUGAGCUUAACUUAGGAAUUGCAUUCGAUACUGGGAAGCUAGAGUAUGGGAGAGGAUGGUAGAAUUCCAGGUGUAGCGGUGAAAUGCGUAGAGAUCUGGAGGAAUACCGAUGGCGAAGGCAGCCAUCUGGCCUAAUACUGACGCUGAGGUACGAAAGCAUGGGGAGCAAACAGGAUUAGAUACCCCCGUAGUCCCUGUCUCUUAUAA